AAUUACAAAAAUAAACUGAAAGCCUUCUUGGACCCUUCCAUCGACCACUACAAUCCUCCAACAGACAGGCAACAAUUCUACCAGUUUUGCACUGAAUUUGGGUUCUUUCAGACCACGGAUUCAAAGAACCAGCCCUUCACUGGGCUGCCUCUCAGUUAUUUUGUUCAACAGUGUUCUGAUUUCUUUGACCCUAAGUUCAAUUAUGAUUCACUGAAGAAGGGUGUUAAAUCCACCAAUGCAUACUACAGUGGCUUUAAAGUAACGGGAAGCAAAAUCAUCUUUCCCAAUGGUUCC
Loxodonta africana (African savanna elephant) is the source of this 294-nucleotide long non-coding RNA. RefSeq lists it as uncharacterized. Lineage: Eukaryota; Metazoa; Chordata; Mammalia; Proboscidea; Elephantidae. The transcript has 3 exons. The record is from RefSeq and is a predicted model, not a curated record.